This 795-nucleotide ribosomal RNA is filed under the name uncultured bacterium. Its description in RNAcentral is "bacterial SSU rRNA". It matches the Rfam family "Bacterial small subunit ribosomal RNA", at positions 60 to 847 of the family's 1533-position model. The record is from RNAcentral.
AGUCGAGGGGCAGCAUGGUCUUAGCUUGCUAAGGCCGAUGGCGACCGGCGCACGGGUGAGUAACACGUAUCCAACCUGCCGUCUACUCUUGGACAGCCUUCUGAAAGGAAGAUUAAUACAAGAUGGCAUCAUGAGUCCGCAUGUUCACAUGAUUAAAGGUAUUCCGGUAGACGAUGGGGAUGCGUUCCAUUAGAUAGUAGGCGGGGUAACGGCCCACCUAGUCUUCGAUGGAUAGGGGUUCUGAGAGGAAGGUCCCCCACAUUGGAACUGAGACACGGUCCAAACUCCUACGGGAGGCAGCAGUGAGGAAUAUUGGUCAAUGGGCGAGAGCCUGAACCAGCCAAGUAGCGUGAAGGAUGACUGCCCUAUGGGUUGUAAACUUCUUUUAUAAAGGAAUAAAGUCGGGUAUGGAUACCCGUUUGCAUGUACUUUAUGAAUAAGGAUCGGCUAACUCCGUGCCAGCAGCCGCGGUAAUACGGAGGAUCCGAGCGUUAUCCGGAUUUAUUGGGUUUAAAGGGAGCGUAGAUGGAUGUUUAAGUCAGUUGUGAAAGUUUGCGGCUCAACCGUAAAAUUGCAGUUGAUACUGGAUAUCUUGAGUGCAGUUGAGGCAGGCGGAAUUCGUGGUGUAGCGGUGAAAUGCUUAGAUAUCACGAAGAACUCCGAUUGCGAAGGCAGCCUGCUAAGCUGCAACUGACAUUGAGGCUCGAAAGUGUGGGUAUCAAACAGGAUUAGAUACCCUGGUAGUCCACACGGUAAACGAUGAAUACUCGCUGUUUGCGAUAUACUGCAAGCGGC